RNAcentral lists this ribosomal RNA (253 nucleotides) under uncultured bacterium. RNAcentral's name for it is "partial 16S ribosomal RNA". It matches the Rfam family "Bacterial small subunit ribosomal RNA", at positions 524 to 776 of the family's 1533-position model. The record is from RNAcentral.
UACGAAGGGGGCUAGCGUUGCUCAGAAUCACUGGGCGUAAAGCGCACGUAGGCGGCUUUCUAAGUCAGGGGUGAAAUCCUGGAGCUCAACUCCAGAACUGCCUUUGAUACUGGAGAGCUAGAGUCCGGAAGAGGUGAGUGGAACUGCGAGUGUAGAGGUGAAAUUCGUAGAUAUUCGCAAGAACACCAGUGGCGAAGGCGGCUCACUGGUCCGGUACUGACGCUGAGGUGCGAAAGCGUGGGGAGCAAACAGG